This 787-nucleotide unclassified non-coding RNA is filed under the name Hevea brasiliensis (rubber tree). The record is from RNAcentral. Lineage: Eukaryota; Viridiplantae; Streptophyta; Magnoliopsida; Malpighiales; Euphorbiaceae.
GCCCCAAAUUUUUGUGAUAAAGGCUUAGUUGAGUUGAGAAGUAGCAAAUGUAUCAGUUAGCAAUAAAUUGAAGAGCUCUCUGCUUUAAUGACAAGCAACUAUGAUAUACAAAUAAUAAUAAUAACAAAGAAGAACAAUGAUCAACUAAUCCAUUUAAUGUAUCAUUGAAUCCAAGACAAACAGAACUAACAUCCUUUGGUCAAUAUACUCCAAAGCUAAGGCUUGAGAGGACAUGAACUACUUACAUAAUUCAAUAAAGUAGGCUAAAUAGUGUAGAGUGAUAGGGUGUUAAGGAAAAUAGUCCAUGAAUUCCAAAAAAAAAAAUUAAGAACAUCAAUAAAAGCAAAAGAAAUAGAGAGUAAAUAUCCAUGCUUUCCACUAAAUCAAGCCAAAGGGAUGGUGAUGGGGGACAAGUGUAUUAAAAAAAAAAAGAGCUAGCAACUAUAGAUCUCAUUUGCAAUCAUGAAACAACUCAACUCCAUUAACUUGUUCAUGCCCUUAUUCUUGAACGUAUGAAUUGGAAAGGGUAGAGAAAGGUAUUAGCGAAUUAAUGGAAGCAAACAGCCCCAAAUCACUUCAUUUUCAUUAUCAAUCUGUAAGAAGACAAAACACACAAGCCAAUGACAACAUAAAACAAUGAUCAAUUAAUGUGUUGUUACAAGAGAAGCAUCAACUUAAUUGUAGAUCAACACAAACAACAAAACACAAAUCAAUUACAGAAACACCUUUCUAAACUUUAAGUAGUUUGUGCUUAGCCGGUCUCAAGCCCGGAUAAAGGAAGAAGGUU